This is a long non-coding RNA of Apis florea (little honeybee), 3535 nucleotides long. NCBI's taxonomy places the organism in Eukaryota, Metazoa, Arthropoda, Insecta, Hymenoptera, Apidae. The record is from RefSeq and is a predicted model, not a curated record.
GAGAGGAGAAGGAGGAGGAGGAGGAGGAGGAAGAAGAGGAGCAAACCGCGAUGGAAAUUCAUGGAAUGUCGUUCUCCUCUAUUUCUUUGCCUCCCCCCCCCCUCCCCUUGGUACAAACGAUACCAUACUUUCGAACAGGGGGAAUUUCAACCGGGCAGAAUCGAUGAGGCUCGUGAGAAGCGUACGCCGUUUUUGUUCUCACAAUUCGUUCGGCUCGCUCUUGUUUCGAGACGAGUCGAGACGAGACGACACUGCGCGAAUUCACCGCGGCUGGCUCCGAGUGCCAUAAUAAAAAUCGGCUUGGAUGUCGUGAUUUAAAAUGCUGAUAACCAACUUUUCAACCCUUGUUCGAGUCUCUUCGCGAUUUCGAUCUUUUGAGAAAUAUUUUGUUGAGAAUGAUUAUUAUUAGGAGCGAUUAACUCUUGUUGAAUUUUGAAUAAAUGGUGGAUAAGGUAAAUGACGACAAUUUGAAGUUGGAUCUUAAAUGGAUAUCGAUGUAUAUAUUUUGAGUGGUGCGAUAUUUUCGUGAAAUUCUUAGCUCGAAUGGAAAGUUGAAGCUGGACCAUAUAAAAGCAGUAUGGCAGUGAGCGCGUGAACCACUUAAUGUCAUGACUGUGACUUAUACGGGCACGGUCGACGCGCUCCUCAUUUGGCAGGUUGCUCCCUUCAACCAGUGCUCUUUGCAGAUCCAAAUCGCGGCCCCUUGUGCAUCGAGAAUUAUCUCUUCUCUUUUCAUCGAAUCUACGAAAGCGAUAAUAAAGAUUUCGCGAAGAACCCACUCGAGGAGGACACGUUCGAAAAAAUACUUUCCAACUUUCCAUCCACGCCAACUUCCUCUCUUUUACUAACUAACUUAUUCACGAAUCUCUCGAAUCAUUUAUCUCCCCGCAUCAGAUAUCCAUAUUAUCUCCCGUCAAAAAAAUCCCGUAUCCGAGAUUGACACAAGCGCGUGGCCCUUUUAAAGAGGCUGACAAAAGGAUUUUUAACGAGAACCGCGUUAUUUCAUUCGACUUUUCCAUCUCGCUUCUCUUUCCUCAACGAAGAAGAAGAAAGUGUAUACCCGAGCUAGAACGAAACGUCGAGAGACACACAGAGAGAGAGAGAGAGAGGAAUGGAGCGAGCCUUUCGCGCGUUUCUUCGGCCAGAAAUAUAUUACCAGUUCAAGGGAGCGAUCCGUUGGUCCGAUGGACCAAUUACAUGGGAGAUCGGGAGAACGAAGGCAAGGUUUAAUUGAUACUUGACGCGCGGGAGGGCCACGAGCAAGGGUUCCCCUUUUAACGAGGCUGAACGGCUAUCUGGGUCAUUGUACCGUGAUCGCAUUCUAAAUUCGGAGUGCAACGAACGUGCGCGACUUUUGUUCCAAGCGUUCGGGAUCGGUCGGGUUGGCGAUUUAUCCCCAAUCGUGCGGGAAACAACGAGGUAUAGUAGGAUGCCUGCGUUAGAAAUUUUGGAGAAACUAUCGUGGAUAUUUAUAUACGCGGGAACUUUGAUGUUUCGAGAGUUUAGCUCGGUUUAGUUAUCGGGUGGAAGUUGUUGGUCUUUCGAUACUUGUUUGGAUCGCAAGCGUGGUUGGUUAAAUCUCGUGGUGUUGAUUUAUAGCGUGAAAAGGAAAGGAGAGGCGGUUUAAAAUAUCUCUUUCACGCGAACAUCCUCGAAUCCAACGUGAAAUAAUACAACGAAGAUAUCCGAAUAGAAUCUUCGAUUAUUAGAACUUUCUCAUUCGAUAUGCUCCGUACGAAAAUGAAAAAUUAAAUCAUCCUUUAUCACCAAUAUUCAUUCAAUAUUUCGCGGCGAUUCGUUUCGCGCCGCACGUCCGCACGCUGAAAUCGAAUAAUUCCCAUUCAACGGGCGCGGCCGAUAAUGCGAAUCGAUUCCGGAAACAUCGAUCGUCGGGUCUAAAUAUAUAAUUGGGGAGCGUGGGGGUGGAUUUUAUCCACGCUGGACGCUAGGCGCACGUAACGGCAGGCAGUUAAAAAAGAAGGAUAAACUAACAUUCGCGCAGAAUAAAUAGUAGAAGCCCAUAAAACUCGCACGAAACACUGUACGUUUUACGAGUCCAUUCCCGAGACCAUUGUCACGCGUAAAACAAGCCAGGGUUUGUUCAACCUGCCUAGACGGAAGUGACGUCGUGGCAACGUGGGGCGACACGGCUCGUUGGACCCCGCGCGCGGAAAUAACUCACGUACGGGAAUCGUCACGUCGCGUGGUAACACGAUGGAAACACAGAAAUGCGCAGAUACGCAAACGUGUAAGUGGCGGAUCGCCGAUAAUCGUACGCGAAACAAGGAGGAUCCGCCUCCUCCGGUUUGUCCUUGGGGGGAUAUAAGGUUCCCAGCAAGGUUCAGGACCAGUCAUGGGACAACAAGGGUGUACGCGAGACACGUUUCCACACCGUGCUGGGAGAAUUACUGCUCGUCAACGUGCCUCUCGAUAAUUUCGUUCGAGGAAUAUAUAGGGGGCAUUGAAGAGCGAGGGGUUUAAAAUUUUAAGGGCUUAUUGUAGUCUUUGAGAUGGCGAGUCUUAAAUUUUUCUCGAGCCGAGAAUUCCUUUCACGCGGUAUUUAUUGUAAUUGGUUGGAAUUUAAGCUUUGUUUUUUGUCCCUCCUCCCCCCUCUCUCCCUCUCUCCCUCCUCCCCUCUCUUCUUUUUUUAUUGCGUUCGUGACAAAAAAAAAAAAGAAAAGAAAAAAGAAAAAAGAAAGAUCGUAAUAAGAGAUCGUAAUGUUGUUAAGUAUUAUUUUGUUUAAUAAUUAAUUAUCUGGUUAUUAUACAGGGUUCUUGAGCUACCUAGCUUUUCUUCUUCUAAAUACAUGGUACUUGUAGCGAUGUAAAAGUUACUAGAAGAUAUCUAUACUCGUCGUUAAUCCGUUUCUAGAAAUCUUUUUCUAUAAAAAUUAACGAAGAAAGAAUAAUGAUAAUAAUACUGUUCUCAACGUCGAACCGAGUCGAAACACAAAUAAAUUUAAGCAGAAGUUGAUUUUUAUCGGGAAACCAAUCAUAGAAAAUGAACCAUGCGGUAAAAAAAUUUUCGACGUGGAAUGAAGAAGAACUUUCACCGUAUUUGCGUCACAUUUUUACGAUGAAAUUAAGUCAAAUGGUCCGAAAGAUAACUCGAUGACUCGAUUGGAAUUGAAACUAGUACGAAGAAGAAAUUUUUUUUUCACCCCCCCCAACUCCGACCUAUAUAUAUUUCCUCUUUAAAUUAAUUCGAGGACUUGUAAGCGUCAAUGUCAUCGUUUCCAACCAAGAUUUAACGAGGAGUAAUCGUUCGAGUUUUUCAUCUAGCAUACAACGACUGCGAAAUUAUUACAGCGUCCAAUUGGAUGAUCGACUGGCAACUAGAUCGUCUGGAAACGCAUCGACGAUUCGAAAAAUCUAUUCCGGUCGGUUUAUUCUUAACAGAUAUCCCAUUUCUGCAUUGCCGCGUAUUUUUAACCGUGGCCCACAUCCGAGCUCGUUGAUUAUUUCCUCGCGUAAUCGAAUAGCCUCGUCUCUUCUCGUUUCGUGACGUUCAUCGACGAGAAUAAAAAAGAGGAGG